RNAcentral lists this unclassified non-coding RNA (157 nucleotides) under uncultured Sordariomycetes. Its description in RNAcentral is "sequence contains ITS1". Lineage: Eukaryota; Fungi; Ascomycota; Sordariomycetes. The record is from RNAcentral.
CCGAGUUUACAACUCCCAAACCCCUGUGAACAUACCUAUUGUUGCUUCGGCGGACACGCCCCGGCGCCCCCGUGCCCGGAACCAGGCGCCCGCCGGAGGACCACAAACCAUGUCUUACUAUAGUGGUAUCAUCUGAGUGGCACAAACAAAUAAAUCA